AAGUGCUGUCAUUGCUGAGAUC
This 22-nucleotide microRNA is filed under the name Macaca mulatta (Rhesus monkey). Its description in RNAcentral is "mml-miR-512-3p". Its record names the gene mml-miR-512-3p. Lineage: Eukaryota; Metazoa; Chordata; Mammalia; Primates; Cercopithecidae. The record is from miRBase by way of RNAcentral.